RNAcentral lists this ribosomal RNA (331 nucleotides) under uncultured marine eukaryote. Its description in RNAcentral is "SSU rRNA". It matches the Rfam family "Eukaryotic small subunit ribosomal RNA", at positions 617 to 948 of the family's 1831-position model. The record is from RNAcentral.
GGUUAAAAAGCUCGUAGUUGGAUCUCGGCGGUCUGAGGGCGGUUCGCUUGAUUGAGUGCUACUGCUCUAUAGGCCGUGGUUUUGCCAGAGGUCUCGGGGUGCUCUUAACCGAGUGUCCUGCGAUGCUGGCAAGUUUACUUUGAAAAAAUUAGAGUGCUCAAAGCAGGCUUUUACGCCUGAAUAUUCGUGCAUGGAAUAAUAGAAUAGGAAGUCGUUUCUAUUUUGUUGGUUUUCGGAAAUCGACUUAAUGAUUAAUAGGGACAGUCGGGGGCAUUUGUAUUCAAACGACAGAGGUGAAAUUCUUGGACCGUUUGAAGACAAACUACUGCGA